This 3737-nucleotide long non-coding RNA is filed under the name Sus scrofa (pig). RNAcentral's name for it is "lncRNA (ENSSSCG00005020146.1)". Lineage: Eukaryota; Metazoa; Chordata; Mammalia; Artiodactyla; Suidae. The record is from RNAcentral.
GUUGCCUUUUUUGUUUGCACAGUAGCUGUCAAUUCCAGCCUUGCAGGAUCAUUAAAAGAGAAACCUGUAAAGGCAACAUUCCUGUAACCGAGUUGGUGCUGCAACGUGCUGGUAAGAAAACAUAUUUAUUUUUUUUUAUCCUUUUUUUUUUUUUUUUUUCUUUUCCUUUUUUUUUAGAGAAACCUGCUUUGUCUGUCUAAUGCAGUCAUAAGCGUGGCUUCCCUGCCGUGAGGGGUUAGCAUGUAAUGAAAAGGUGUAAUUGCCUGAUAUGUGACCUUCGCGUCAUAUGUAUAAUGGGUAAUAACAGAUCCGUGUGUACCCUGAUGAUGCUUCUCUCCGCGAAUUGAUGAGUCGCCCAGUUGCAACAGGGCUAGGACUGUCGCACCAUGGCAAGGAGUUGUUGCUCGUUUAAGGCUGGCAUUUCCGUGUCCUGUCGGGGGGGGAGAAUUCUUGAGUUCUCCAAGUUAUUUGCUUGCAGAGGUGUCGUGGGUUUUAAUAGGUCUCUGACAGACUGUAAGUGCUUUGUUAUUUACUCUCCAGACAGGAAGUACAAUGAUGAAACUUUUUUUUUAAAGUAACCCUGUAAUUAUCCUAGACUUCCUUAGUCCAGAUAAUGAGGAGACCAAAGUGAGUUCUGGGUAGCGUUAUUUUAAUCCCUUUCAUCUACAACUCAUCAGGAGUUCAUUAGACAAUCGACGGGACAGCCUAGAUCAUCGGGGGACUGAGAACUUGAGAGGGCCACUUUUUUCUUGAAAAGGACGAAUUUUAAUUCAGCCCAAUUAAAUGCAACAAGUAUUUCUGUAUACAUCACCUGGGACUAGAACAGAGAAUGUUCUUGUCUGAUAGUCUGUUGCGGGAAGAGAUGUCCAGCAGUCGGCUUUGCAUGCUACUGUGAGGACUGAUCAGAUCAUUUAAGACACGUUUCAAAUGCAGGACUGUUGACGAUGAGAUAGUUGCCAAGGUGAAGUCUCUGACAACCAAUGUACUUCUCUUCCUCCUGUUCAGGCACAUUUAUGUCAAUUUGCAACGAUGCUUAGCACAUUUUUUACUGCAUUUUAAAAUUAUAAGGAGAGGAGAUAACAUAGAAAUCUUUUCUUUCUUAAAAUCCUAUAUCCUUGUGGCAAAGUUUGAGCUUUUACCCCAGUGCUGGCCUCAGAAGCUAGAAGACACAAGGACAGGUUUAGAUUGGAAAAUGAGUGUUCUUGGACUGAGGUCAAGAAACUUAGGAACAGAUAUUUUUCCUUUACAGCCUUUAAAAACACACGUAAAAUAUCAAGGGGUAUUUUUGUCUGUGUUCCAUGGUUGUCUGUAAACUGUGGUCAUUUUUGGUUUUGUGCCUUUUGUUUUCGGUUUUUAGUUAGAUAAGUAAAAAUGGACCAGAAAGAUGGUCAAAAGAGAAUGUAGUUACCCAAUAUCCAUUAAGACCUUUUCCUAAAGAAAAAAAAAAUCUCUCCUUUGGACGUUUGAAGAUUGUAUGCCAUGUGCAUCUGGUAGGGAAUGUGGCAGUCUACAUCCUGGUAACAUUUGGUCUCUCGUCUCUGGAGCUAUUCUAUCUAAUUGUGUCAUUUCUACAUUUAAACAACUCUGAACCGUGCCGCCCUGCAGGUCCUCACCGUUGGCCCCCAGAUCACUUGCAAUGUCUAAAAAGACCUUGGAACAUUAGAAAAUGUCAAUUGUUGGAAUAAUUUCUGCCUCUCAUAACAAGAGAAAAUACUGUGGAUUUAAUAGUUCGUUUCUAAAAUCCAUUUUUAUCCACCAGUAACUGUCUAUUAGGAACAUUUCCGUUAUAAUUGGAAUAAAUUGUUGCCCAGUAACAAGCAACUAACUCUGAAGCUACUUGCCAUAGAAAUCAGUGACUAGAAAUAGCUACAAAGAGCUUAAUGCAAGUCAAACCGCAGCACUUGCAUUUCUUAAUUUUUUCAAAAAAAAAGUAUUCAAUUUUUAAUAGUUUUAUUCUGCUACUUAAAUUCUUGACUUUUUUUUACUCAAGGUCCCUCUUCUAGGAAAAUUUCUAAUUGACCCAAAUCCCUGGUGUGAAAAAUAGAGGCCCAUAGACCUUUGGAGAAAAAUGUUUUUUCUUUCUGACUCAAAAUAAGAAUAGGAGAGGAUGAGCAUACUCUCUCAGACUAUGAACGUGAAGAAGAUUCUGGGCCAGCAACACCAUUACAUGUGAAGAACGGCUAUCAUCUCUUGCAGAACGUAAUGCAAAAUUACAGGUUUCACUGUAGGACUCUGUCAUUUGAACGAGUAAUCAGUCCAUAAUUCCAUAGAUUGCUGCAGGUAAAUGAUGCUUCUCCCCAUUAAUAAAAUAUGGAAUAACACUGAAGUUACUUUAGUUAGAUUUUUACCCUAUCCAUUUUUUUUUCCAAGAGAAACAGAUCCUCAUAAACCCAAAUCCUGAUAUUGAAAUAUACUUAAUACCAGAAUGUAUUUUCUUCUUCCCUAGCUGAAGGAUGAUAAUAUUACAGUUUCAAGGGCAAAUUUCUUCAACAAUGGUUCUGCAUUUUCCAUUUAGCUCUGGCGGCAGUGGGGGAUAGUUUUCAACCUUCUAAUUGCACACAUGUUGGGAUGAAAAAACACUGUUAUUUUAAACACAGACACACAAACAGACAAAAUUAUAAACACUAGCAUGAAAAUAUCUAGCAAAUAUAAAGGUGUAAGUAGUGCUUUCUGAAAAUAUGACUGUCGAUAUUUGCUCAGCUCAGUAUCAAUGUUGACAGGGUAUCAACUAUUUUAGAAUCUAUGGGAGCACUAAGAAUGAAAAAGCCCUAUCUUGGCCAUCCAGGGAAUGACAGUGUAGUGGAAGUUUAGCUGGUGGCCUAGAAAGCAAUUUGAUUAAUUGGCCUGUGAGGAAUUUUACAUUGUGUAUGGUUCUCGGGAUCAAAUAAAAUUAUAAUGUAUUGUUAUGACCUCUUAGAACAGGCGUAUUCUUUACUUUCCAUUUUUGCUUUAGUUCUUCUGUUGGCACAUAUGUGUUUUCUACUUCUUGUGUCUUUAAAAGGUUGUUCCUAUUAGACAAAUAGUCAGUAUCUGUAUUUUUUCCACUAUAAAAGAGACGGAGCAAGAAGCACAAGGCUGGGUAUCAGGAGAUAGCAUCCGAAUCCAAAAUAUCCCACUGAUUUUGCUACUUCAUCUUCCAAGGCCUCUGUCUCCUCAUACAAAGAGGAAGUGGCCUCAUCCCACAGCAAAAACGUGUCAGUCCCACUGUGGUGAAGAUGGGUAACUUGCCAUGAAGAGAAAGAGGAAUGUCAGUUAUGGAAGGCAUUCUGGUCCAGUGGUUUAAACAGAGUACCAGCGAGUUACUGACACAGAAACUCCAAGUUCUAGCCUCUGCAUUUGGGCUGAAUUGAGUGUGGUUGUGCCAGCUCCUUAAUUUCAUACCCUCUGCUCUCUUGGCUGACGAGGUAAUGCCCACAGGACUAGAGAGAAGCACUGCAAUAGAACAGCAAGUGUGUGGUGAUGAGUGCUGUGCUGCCAUCAAUUGAAAUGCUUCCUACAUGGGACCCAAGAAAAUAAAGAGAAUUUCUCUCACUUUGAAACUGAAAGGUAGAGCAAAGAUGAGUUCCCUCAGUGGGUUAAGAACCUGACAUAGUGUCUGUGAGGGUUAGGGACCUGAGUUGCUGCAAGCUGGGGUGUCAUUCACAGAUGUGGCUCUGAUCCUGCCUUGCUGUGGCUGUGGUGAGGAGCAUAGAUUUGGCUCUGGAACAUCCAUAUCUCACAGGUGCGGCGAAAGAAAG